GCGUGCUGGGCCCAUAACCCAGAGGUCG
This 28-nucleotide non-coding RNA is filed under the name Bos taurus (domestic cattle). The record is from RNAcentral. RNAcentral also lists the same sequence under 2 other names. Lineage: Eukaryota; Metazoa; Chordata; Mammalia; Artiodactyla; Bovidae.